RNAcentral lists this ribosomal RNA (469 nucleotides) under uncultured bacterium. RNAcentral describes it as "partial 16S ribosomal RNA". It matches the Rfam family "Bacterial small subunit ribosomal RNA", at positions 28 to 507 of the family's 1533-position model. The record is from RNAcentral.
GACGAACGCUGGCGGCGUGCUUAACACAUGCAAGUCGAACGGUGAAGCGAGUGCUUGCACUCGUGGAUCAGUGGCGAACGGGUGAGUAACACGUGAGUAACCUGCCCAUCACUCUGGGAUAAGCACUGGAAACGGUGUCUAAUACUGGAUACGACCAACCCUUGCAUGGGGUGUUGGUGGAAAGAUUUAUCGGUGAUGGAUGGACUCGCGGCCUAUCAGCUUGUUGGCGGGGUAAUGGCCCACCAAGGCGACGACGGGUAGCCGGCCUGAGAGGGUGACCGGCCACACUGGGACUGAGAGACGGCCCAGACUCCUACGGGAGGCAGCAGUGGGGAAUAUUGCACAAUGGGCGAAAGCCUGAUGCAGCGACGCCGCGUGAGGGAUGACGGCCUUCGGGUUGUAAACCUCUUUCAGCAGGGAAGAAGCGAAAGUGACGGUACCUGCAGAAGAAGCACCGGCUAACUACGUG